Molecule: ribosomal RNA, 952 nt
Filed under: Cochliomyia macellaria (secondary screw-worm)
Lineage: Eukaryota; Metazoa; Arthropoda; Insecta; Diptera; Calliphoridae
Description: eukaryotic LSU rRNA
Rfam family: Eukaryotic large subunit ribosomal RNA
Source: RNAcentral
UAGUUCAGCACUAAGUCACUUUGUCUUAAUGGCAAAUGUGAGAUGCAGUGUAUGGAAUGUCAAAUUUCUAGUAUGAGAAAUUAACGAUUUAAGUCCUUCUUAAAUGAGGCCAUUUACCCAAAGAGGGUGCCAGGCCCGUAUAACGUUAAUGAUUACUAGAUGGCAUUUCCAAAGAGUCGUGUUGCUUGAUAGUGCAGCACUAAGUGGGUGGUAAACUCCAUCUAAAACUAAAUAUAACCAUGAGACCGAUAGUAAACAAGUACCGUGAGGGAAAGUUGAAAAGAACUCUGAAUAGAGAGUUAAAUAGUACGUGAAACUGCUUAGAGGUUAAGCCCGAUGAACCUGAAUAUCCAUUAUAGAAAAUUCAUCAUUAUGAUUUUAAUAUUUAUAAUAUUAUAAUAAUGGUGUGCAUUUUUUCUAUAAAAGGACAUUGUAAUCUAUUAACAUCAAAUAUUUAUCAAAAGAUCAAUUGCAAAAGUUUAUUCAAAUUAUUUUGCUUGCAAUUUAACAUAGAAUAAAUGCUUUUGAUUUGAUAAAGUGUUGAUAGAUUUAUUAUAUAUAGUGCUUGAAUAUUUAUAUUCUAUAAUAGCAUAUUAAUCAUUGAUUUUUAUGUUUAUUAUAUGCACUUAUAUGAUUAACAAUGCGAAAGAUUCAGGAUACCUUCGGGACCCGUCUUGAAACACGGACCAAGGAGUCUAACAUAUUUGCAAGUUAUUGGGAAUAAAAACCUAAUAGCGAAAUUAACAUAACUUAUUUAAUGGGAUUAAUUUUUAGCCUAUUUAUAGUCUAUUAAUUCAAUCCCGGGGCGUUCUAUACAGUUAUGUAUAAUAAUAUUUAUAUUAUUUAUACCUCUAACUAGAGCGUACCUUGAGCAUAUAUGCUGUGACCCGAAAGAUGGUGAACUAUACUUGAUCAGGUUGAAGUCAGGGGAAACCCUGAUGGAAGACCGAAA